GACGAACACUGGCGGCGUGCUUAACACAUGCAAGUCGAACGGGUCUGCCCUGUUUUUUGCGGGGUGGGUCAGUGGCGAACGGGUGAGUAACACGUGAGUAACCUGCCCCUCACUUCUGGAUAACCGCUUGAAAGGGUGGCUAAUACGGGGUGUUCUGGCUGUGCCGCAUGGUGUGGCUGGGAAAGAUUCACUUUUGUGGUGUUUUGGUGGGGGAUGGGCUCGCGGCCUAUCAGCUUGUUGGGGGGGUGAUGGCCUGCCAAGGCUUUGACGGGUAGCCGGCCUGUGAGGGUGGGCGGUCACACUGGGACUGAGAUACGGGCCAGACUCCUGCGGGGGGCAGCAGUGGGGGGUAUCGCACAAUGGGCGGAAGCCUGAUGCAGCGACGUCGCGUGAGGGAUGGAGGCCUUCGGGUUGUGAACCUCUUUCGCCGGUGAAGAAGGUCCUGCUCUUUGUGGUGGGGGUGACGGUAGCCGGGUUAUGAAGCGCCGGCUAACUACGUG
This 500-nucleotide ribosomal RNA is filed under the name uncultured bacterium. RNAcentral's name for it is "partial 16S ribosomal RNA". It matches the Rfam family "Bacterial small subunit ribosomal RNA", at positions 28 to 507 of the family's 1533-position model. The record is from RNAcentral.